RNAcentral lists this ribosomal RNA (406 nucleotides) under uncultured bacterium. RNAcentral's name for it is "partial 16S ribosomal RNA". It matches the Rfam family "Bacterial small subunit ribosomal RNA", at positions 30 to 526 of the family's 1533-position model. The record is from RNAcentral.
AUUGAACGCUGGCGGCAGGCCUAACACAUGCAAGUCGAACGGGUGGCGGACGGGUGAGCAAUGUCUGGGAAACGGCCCGAUGGAUGGGGUUAACUAAUGGAAACGGUUACUAAUACCGCAAACCUUCGGCUGUGCCCUGGUGGGAUUAGCUAGUAGGUGGGGUAACGGCUCACCAAGGCGCAGAUCCCUAGCUGGUCUGAGAGGAUGACCAGCCACACUGGAACUGAGACACGGUCCAGACUCCUACGGGAGGCAGCAGUGGGGAAUAUUGCACAAUGGGCGAAAGCCUGAUGCAGCCAUGCCGCGUGUGUGAAGAAGGCCUUCGGGUUGUAAAGGACUUUCAGCGGGGAGGCGUUACUCACAGAGGAAGCACCGGCUAACUACGUGCCAGCAGCCGCGGUAAUAC